This 104-nucleotide small nuclear RNA is filed under the name Zalophus californianus (California sea lion). The record is from RNAcentral. Lineage: Eukaryota; Metazoa; Chordata; Mammalia; Carnivora; Otariidae.
GUGUUCGUCUCGGCAGUACAUCCACACAAAUCACAGUGAUACAGAGAUUAUCAUGGCCCCUGCACAAGGAUGACACACAAAUUCGUGAUGUGUUCCAUUAAAAA